GCGCGCUUAGCUCAGUGGCAGAGCGUCUCUCUUACACAGAGAAGGUCGGGGGUUCAAAUCCCUCAGCGCGCA
This 72-nucleotide transfer RNA is filed under the name Parcubacteria group bacterium. Its description in RNAcentral is "tRNA-Val". It matches the Rfam family "tRNA". Rfam says of the family: Transfer RNA (tRNA) molecules are approximately 80 nucleotides in length. Their secondary structure includes four short double-helical elements and three loops (D, anti-codon, and T loops). Further hydrogen bonds mediate the characteristic L-shaped molecular structure. tRNAs have two regions of fundamental functional importance: the anti-codon, which is responsible for specific mRNA codon recognition, and the 3' end, to which the tRNAs corresponding amino acid is attached (by aminoacyl-tRNA synthetases). tRNAs cope with the degeneracy of the genetic code in two manners: having more than one tRNA (with a specific anti-codon) for a particular amino acid; and 'wobble' base-pairing, i.e. permitting non-standard base-pairing at the 3rd anti-codon position. RNAcentral also lists the same sequence under 1 other name. The record is from RNAcentral.